Molecule: ribosomal RNA, 406 nt
Filed under: uncultured bacterium
Lineage: Bacteria
Description: partial 16S ribosomal RNA
Rfam family: Bacterial small subunit ribosomal RNA
Source: RNAcentral
AUUGAACGCUGGCGGCAGGCUUAACACAUGCAAGUCGAGCGAGCGGCGGACGGGUGAGUAAUGUCUGGGAAACUGCCUGAUGGAGGGGGAUAACUACUGGAAACGGUAGCUAAUACCGCAUACCAUCAGAUGUGCCCAUAGGGGAUUAGCUAGUAGGUGGGGUAAUGGCUCACCUAGGCGACGAUCCCUAGCUGGUCUGAGAGGAUGACCAUCCACACUGGAACUGAGACCCGGCCCAGCGUCCUGCGGGAGGCAGCAGUGGGGAAUAUUGCACAAGGGGCGCAAGCCUGAUGCAGCCGUGCCGCGUGUGUGAAGAAGGCCUUCGGGUUGUAAAGCACUUUCAGCGAGGAGGCGUUACUCGCAGAAGAAGCACCGGCUAACUCCGUGCCAGCAGCCGCGGUAAUUC